AGAGUUUGAUCAUGGCUCAGAGUGAACGUUGGCGGCGUGGAUUAGGCAUGCAAGUCGAGCGAUCGUAGCAAUACGGGAGCGGCAAACGGGGUAGGAAUACAUCGGAACGUACCUUUUGGUUGAGAAUAGCGUUGGGAAACUGACGGUAAUACUCAAUAAAGUCGAGAGACCAAAGGUUUACUGCCGGAAGAGCGGCCGAUGCGAUAUUAGGUAGUUGGUGGGGUAAUGGCCUACCAAGCCUGAGAUGUCUAGGGGGGUGUGAGAGCAUGGCCCCCACCACUGGGACUGAGAUACUGCCCAGACACCUACGGGUGGCUGCAGUCGAGGAUCUUCGUCAAUGGGCGAAAGCCUGAACGAGCGACGCCGCGUGCGGGAUGAAGGCCCUUGGGUUGUAAACCGCUGUCAGGGGGGAUGAAACCGUAAGGUUGACAGAGCCCCAGAGGAAGCACGGGCUAAGUUCGUG
RNAcentral lists this ribosomal RNA (463 nucleotides) under uncultured bacterium. Its description in RNAcentral is "bacterial SSU rRNA". It matches the Rfam family "Bacterial small subunit ribosomal RNA", at positions 8 to 507 of the family's 1533-position model. The record is from RNAcentral.